Molecule: unclassified non-coding RNA, 329 nt
Filed under: uncultured fungus
Lineage: Eukaryota; Fungi
Description: partial contains small subunit ribosomal RNA, internal transcribed spacer 1, and 5.8S ribosomal RNA
Rfam family: Eukaryotic small subunit ribosomal RNA (bases 1-73)
Source: RNAcentral
UCAAACUUGGUCAUUUAGAGGAAGUAAAAGUCGUAACAAGGUUUCCGUAGGUGAACCUGCGGAAGGAUCAUUACUGAGUUUUUGGGGUCUAAUCAGCGAAAGCUGAUUUGGAUAUCCGAUUCUCCAUCCUUUGUUGACUUGAUGUCAUUCUUUGGCAAGACGCUUGAGUAGUUACAAACUACUUUAAGCCACUGGUAGAUUUUAGGGUCUAUGAGUGUGUUGCUUGCCAAAGUUACAACUCUUUUAUUAUUGUUGUCUGAUAAACAAACAAAUAAAUUAAAACUUUCAACAACGGAUCUCUUGGUUCUGGCAUCGAUGAAGAACGCAGC